This 468-nucleotide ribosomal RNA is filed under the name uncultured bacterium. RNAcentral describes it as "partial 16S ribosomal RNA". It matches the Rfam family "Bacterial small subunit ribosomal RNA", at positions 28 to 507 of the family's 1533-position model. The record is from RNAcentral.
GACGAACGCUGGCGGCGUGCUUAACACAUGCAAGUCGAACGGAAAGGCCCUGCUUUUGUGGGGUGCUCGAGUGGCGAACGGGUGAGUAACACGUGAGUAACCUGCCCUUGACUUUGGGAUAACUUCAGGAAACUGGGGCUAAUACCGGAUAGGAGCUCCUGCUGCAUGGUGGGGGUUGGAAAGUUUCGGCGGUUGGGGAUGGACUCGCGGCUUAUCGGCUUGUUGGUGGGGUAGUGGCUUACCAAGGCUUUGACGGGUAGCCGGCCUGGGAGGGUGAACGGGGACCUGGGGACUGAGAUACGGACCAGUCUCCAACGGGAGGCAGCAGUGGGGAAUAUUGCACAGUGGGCCGAAGCCGGAUGCAGAAACGCCGCGUGCGGGAUGACGGCCUUCGGGGUGUAAACCGCUUUCGCCUGUGACGAAGCGUGAGUGACGGUAAUGGGUAAAGAAGCACCGGCUAACUACGUG